RNAcentral lists this ribosomal RNA (520 nucleotides) under uncultured Glomus. RNAcentral's name for it is "SSU rRNA". It matches the Rfam family "Eukaryotic small subunit ribosomal RNA", at positions 569 to 1088 of the family's 1831-position model. Lineage: Eukaryota; Fungi; Glomeromycota; Glomeromycetes; Glomerales; Glomeraceae. The record is from RNAcentral.
AGCAGCCGCGGUAAUUCCAGCUCCAAUAGCGUAUAUUAAAGUUGUUGCAGUUAAAAAGCUCGUAGUUGAAUUUCGGGGUUAGUAGAUUGGUCAUGCCUCUGGUAUGUACUGGUCUCACUGAUUCCUCCUUCCUGAUGAACCUUAAUGCCAUUUAUUUGGUGUUUUUGGGGAAUUUGGACUGUUACUUUGAAAAAAUUAGAGUGUUUAAAGCAAGCUAACGCUUGAAUACAUUAGCAUGGAAUAAUGAAAUAGGACGUUCGAUCCUAUUUUGUUGGUUUCUAGGAUUGACGUAAUGAUUAAUAGGGAUAGUUGGGGGCAUUAGUAUUCAAUUGUCAGAGGUGAAAUUCUUGGAUUUAUUGAAGACUAACUACUGCGAAAGCAUUUGCCAAGGAUGUUUUCAUUAAUCAAGAACGAAAGUUAGGGAUCGAAGACGAUCAGAUACCGUCGUAGUCUUAACCAUAAACUAUAGCCGACUAGGGAUCGGAUGAUGUUAAUUUUUAAUGUACUUCAUUCGGCGUCC